This 484-nucleotide ribosomal RNA is filed under the name uncultured bacterium. Its description in RNAcentral is "partial 16S ribosomal RNA". It matches the Rfam family "Bacterial small subunit ribosomal RNA", at positions 29 to 507 of the family's 1533-position model. The record is from RNAcentral.
AUUGAACGCUGGCGGCAUGCUUUACACAUGCAAGUCGAACGGCAGCGCGGGCUUCGGCCUGGCGGCGAGUGGCGAACGGGUGAGUAAUACAUCGGAACGUGCCCAGUAGUGGGGGAUAGCUCGGCGAAAGCCGGAUUAAUACCGCAUACGACCUGAGGGUGAAAGCGGGGGAUCUUCGGACCUCGCGCUAUUGGAGCGGCCGAUGGCAGAUUAGCUAGUUAGUGGGGUAAAGGCCUACCAAGGCGACGAUCUGUAGCUGGUCUGAGAGGACGACCAGCCACACUGGGACUGAGACACGGCCCAGACUCCUACGGGAGGCAGCAGUGGGGAAUUUUGGACAAUGGGCGAAAGCCUGAUCCAGCAAUGCCGCGUGUGUGAUGAAGGCCUUCGGGUUGUAAAGCACUUUUGGCGGGAACGAAAAGGACUGUGCCAAUACCACGGUUCGAUGACGGUACCCGCAGAAUAAGCACCGGCUAACUACGUG